UCAAGCGAAUAAGCGCACACGGUGGAUGCCUUGGCGGUCAGAGGCGAUGAAGGACGUGGCAGCCUGCGAAAAGUAUCGGGGAGCUGGCAACAAGCUUUGAUCCGGUAAUGUCCGAAUGGGGAAACCCACCCGCUUGCGGGUAUCCUGCAGUGAAUACAUAGCUGCUGGAAGCGAACCUGGUGAACUGAAAUAUCUAAGUAACCAGAGGAAAAGAAAUCAACCGAGAUUCCGUAAGUAGCGACGAGCGAACGCGGACUAGCCCUUAAGCUGAUUUGGUUCUAGGAAAACGCUCUGGAAAGAGCGGCCAUAGAAGGUGAUAGCCCUGUAUCUGAAAGGGCCAUUUCAGUGAAGACGAGUAGGGCGGGGCACGUGAAACCCUGUCUGAACAUGGGGGGACCAUCCUCCAAGGCUAAAUACUACUGACCGACCGAUAGUGAACCAGUACCGUGAGGGAAAGGCGAAAAGAACCCCGGAGAGGGGAGUGAAAUAGAACCUGAAACCGUGUGCGUACAAGCAGUAGGAGCUCCGCAAGGAGUGACUGCGUACCUUUUGUAUAAUGGGUCAGCGACUUACUGUUCGUGGCAAGCUUAACCGUAUAGGGGAGGCGAAGGGAAACCGAGUCUGAUAAGGGCGCAUAGUCGCGGGCAGUAGACCCGAAACCGGGUGAUCUAGUCAUGCCCAGGGUGAAGGUGCGGUAACACGCACUGGAGGCCCGAACCCACUCCCGUUGCAAAGGUAGGGGAUGAGGUGUGAUUAGGAGUGAAAAGCUAAUCGAACCCGGAGAUAGCUGGUUCUCCUCGAAAGCUAUUUAGGUAGCGCCUCAUAUGUAUCCUCUCGGGGGUAGAGCACUGUUAUGGCUAGGGGGUCAUCGCGACUUACCAAACCAUUGCAAACUCCGAAUACCGAGACGGACUGUAUGGGAGACACACGGCGGGUGCUAACGUCCGUCGUGAAAAGGGAAACAACCCAGACCCACAGCUAAGGUCCCAAAUUCACUGCUAAGUGGAAAACCAUGUGGAAAGGCACAGACAGCCAGGAGGUUGGCUUAGAAGCAGCCACCCUUUAAAGAAAGCGUAAUAGCUCACUGGUCGAGUCGGUCUGCGGGGAAGAUUUAACGGGGCUAAGCAGUGAACCGAAGCUUGGGGUGCAUACUUUGUAUGCGCGGUAGAGGAGCGUUCCGUAAGCCGUUGAAGGUGGAUUGAGAAGUCUGCUGGAGGUAUCGGAAGUGCGAAUGCUGACAUGAGUAACGAUAAUGCGGGUGAAAAACCCGCACGCCGAAAGCCCAAGGUUUCCUUGCGCAACGUUAAUCGGCGCAGGGUGAGUCGGCCCCUAAGGCGAGGACGAAAGUCGUAGUCGAUGGGAAGCAGGUUAAUAUUCCUGCACCUCGCGUAAGUGCGAUGGAGGGACGGAGAAGGUUAGGUGUACCAGGCGUUGGUUGUCCUGGGGAAAGGCGGUAGGUUUGGAUCUUUGGCAAAUCCGGGAUCCUUUAAGACCGAGCACCGAGACGAGCCUUUAUGGCGAAGUCACUGAUACCACGCUUCCAGGAAAAGCUCCUAAGCUUCAGCUUACGCAGACCGUACCGUAAACCGACACAGGUGGGUAGGAUGAGAAUUCUCAGGCGCUUGAGAGAACUCGGGUGAAGGAACUAGGCAACAUGGCACCGUAACUUCGGGAGAAGGUGCACCCUUUUUGGUGGCUCGUGCGAGCUAUAGCUGAAGAGGGUCGCAGUAACCAGGCCGCUGCGACUGUUUAUCAAAAACACAGCACUCUGCAAACACGAAAGUGGACGUAUAGGGUGUGACGCCUGCCCGGUGCUGGAAGGUUAAUUGAUGGGGUCAGCCGCAAGGCGAAGCUCUUGAUCGAAGCCCCAGUAAACGGCGGCCGUAACUAUAACGGUCCUAAGGUAGCGAAAUUCCUUGUCGGGUAAGUUCCGACCUGCACGAAUGGCGUAACGACAGCGGCGCUGUCUCCACCCGAGACUCAGUGAAAUUGAAAUCGCUGUGAAGAUGCAGCGUUCCCGUGGCAAGACGGAAAGACCCCGUGAACCUUUACUAUAGCUUUACACUGAACGUUGAGUUCGUCUGUGUAGGAUAGGUGGGAGGCUAUGAAACUGUGGCGCUAGCUGCAGCGGAGCCAUCCUUGAAAUACCACCCUGUCGUGCUUGACGUUCUAACCUGGGCCCAUUAUCUGGGUCGGGGACCGUGUAUGGUGGGUAGUUUGACUGGGGCGGUCUCCUCCUAAAGAGUAACGGAGGAGCUCGAAGGUACGCUCAGCGCGGUCGGACAUCGCGCACUGUGUGCAAAGGCAUAAGCGUGCUUGACUGCAAGAUCGACGGAUCAAGCAGGUAGGAAACUAGGACUUAGUGAUCCGGUGGUUCUGUAUGGAAGGGCCAUCGCUCAACGGAUAAAAGGUACUCCGGGGAUAACAGGCUGAUACCGCCCAAGAGUUCAUAUCGACGGCGGUGUUUGGCACCUCGAUGUCGGCUCAUCACAUCCUGGGGCUGUAGUCGGUCCCAAGGGUAUGGCUGUUCGCCAUUUAAAGUGGUACGCGAGCUGGGUUCAGAACGUCGUGAGACAGUUCGGUCCCUAUCUGCCAUGGGCGUUGGAGAUUUGAGAGGGGCUGCUCCUAGUACGAGAGGACCGGAGUGGACGAACCUCUGGUGUUCCGGUUGUCACGCCAGUGGCAUUGCCGGGUAGCUAUGUUCGGAAGCGAUAACCGCUGAAAGCAUCUAAGCGGGAAGCGCGCCUCAAGAUGAGAUCUCCCGGGGCACAAGCCCCCUGAAGGAACCAUGUAGACUACGUGGUUGAUAGGUCAGGUGUGUAAGUACAGCAAUGUAUUGAGCUAACUGAUACUAAUGAUCCGUGCGGCUUGACCAU
RNAcentral lists this ribosomal RNA (2876 nucleotides) under Stenotrophomonas sp. TD3. RNAcentral describes it as "bacterial LSU rRNA". It matches the Rfam family "Bacterial large subunit ribosomal RNA". Lineage: Bacteria; Pseudomonadati; Pseudomonadota; Gammaproteobacteria; Lysobacterales; Lysobacteraceae. The record is from RNAcentral.